AGGUAAGGGCAACGGAACAGGGGACGUUGGAUCGGACACAAGGACAUGGUUAAGUGCUGCUCUCU
This 65-nucleotide small RNA is filed under the name Arabidopsis thaliana (thale cress). RNAcentral describes it as "ATSL234620". Lineage: Eukaryota; Viridiplantae; Streptophyta; Magnoliopsida; Brassicales; Brassicaceae. The record is from RNAcentral.